AGGGCUAUAGCUCAGUGGUAGAGCAUCUGAUUUGUAGGCAGAAGGCUGCAGGUUCAAUUCCCAGCAACUCCA
This is a non-coding RNA of Podarcis lilfordi (Lilford's wall lizard), 72 nucleotides long. The record is from the annotation of a GenBank genome assembly. NCBI's taxonomy places the organism in Eukaryota, Metazoa, Chordata, Lepidosauria, Squamata, Lacertidae.